RNAcentral lists this ribosomal RNA (788 nucleotides) under uncultured archaeon. RNAcentral describes it as "bacterial SSU rRNA". It matches the Rfam family "Archaeal small subunit ribosomal RNA", at positions 85 to 876 of the family's 1478-position model. The record is from RNAcentral.
ACUGCUCAGUAACACGUGGUCAACAUACCCAGAGGACGUGGAUAACCUCGGGAAACUGAGGAUAAACCGCGAUAGACCAUAAUGUCUGGAAUGAUUUAUGGUUCAAAUCUAUAUGGCCUCUGGAUUGGACUGCGGCCGAUCAGGCUGUUGGUGAGGUAAUGGCCCACCAAACCUGAAACCGGUACGGGCUCUGAGAGGAGAAGCCCGGAGAUGGGCACUGAGACAAGGGCCCAGGCCCUAUGGGGCGCAGCAGGCGCGAAACCUUUGCAAUAGGCGAAAGCCUGACAAGGUUACUCUGAGUGAUCUCCGCUAAGGAAAUCUUUUGACACCUCUAAAAAUGGUGUAGAAUAAGGGGUGGGCAAGCCUGGUGUCAGCCGCCGCGGUAAUACCAGCACCCCGAGUGGUCGGGACGAUUAUUGGGCCUAAAGCAUCCGUAGCCGGUUCUUUAAGUCCUCCGUUAAAUCCACCUGCUUAACAGAUGGGCUGCGGAGGAUACUAUAGAGCUAGGAGGCGGGAGAGGCAAGCGGUACUCAGUGGGUAGGGGUAAAAUCCGUUGAUCCAUUGAAGACCACCAGUGGCGAAGGCGGCUUGCCAGAAUGCGCUCGACGGUGAGGGAUGAAAGCUGGGGGAGCAAACCGGAUUAGAUACCCGGGUAGUCCCAGCUGUAAACGAUGCAGACUCGGUGAUGGACUAGCUUAAUGCUAGUCCAGUGCCGCAGGGAAGCCGUUAAGUCUGCCGCCUGGGUAGUACGGUCGCAAGACUGAAACUUAAAGGAAUUGGCGGGGGAG